AGAGUUUGAUCCUGGCUCAGAGUGAACGCUGGCGGCAGGCCUAAUACAUGCAAGUCGAACGGCAGCACGGCAGAGCUUGCUCUGUGGGUGGCGAGUGGCGGACGGGUGAGGAAUACAUGGGAAUCUGCCCAGUCGUGGGGGAUAACGUAGGGAAACUUACGCUAAUACCGCAUGCGCCCUUCGGGGGAAAGCCGGGGACCUUCGGGCCUGGCGCGAUUGGAUGAGCCCAUGUCGGAUUAGCUAGUUGGCGGGGUAACGGCCCACCAAGGCGACGAUCCGUAGCUGGUCUGAGAGGAUGAUCAGCCACACUGGAACUGAGACACGGUCCAGACUCCUACGGGAGGCAGCAGUAGGGAAUAUUGGACAAUGGGCGCAAGCCUGAUCCAGCCAUGCCGCGUGAGUGAAGAAGGCCUUCGGGUUGUAAAGCUCUUUUGUCCGGAAAGAAAAGCUUCGGGUCAAUACCCCGGAGUCCUGACGGUACCGGAAGAAUAAGCACCGGCCAACUUCGUGCCAGCAGCCGCGGUAAUACGAAGGGUGCAAGCGUUACUCGGAAUUACUGGGCGUAAAGCGUGCGUAGGUGGUUUGUUAAGUCUGAUGUGAAAGCCCUGGGCUCAACCUGGGAAUGGCAUUGGAUACUGGCAGGCUAGAGUGCGGUAG
Molecule: ribosomal RNA, 657 nt
Filed under: uncultured bacterium
Lineage: Bacteria
Description: bacterial SSU rRNA
Rfam family: Bacterial small subunit ribosomal RNA
Source: RNAcentral